This is a long non-coding RNA of Varroa destructor (honeybee mite), 280 nucleotides long. RefSeq lists it as uncharacterized. The record is from RefSeq and is a predicted model, not a curated record. NCBI's taxonomy places the organism in Eukaryota, Metazoa, Arthropoda, Arachnida, Mesostigmata, Varroidae.
GGAAAAGUAAGGGGAUCGAUAAUUUCAAGUCCCAACCUGUACGGGCGUGUGCACUGCCCUUUAAAGGAAACAUUUGCAGGCUCAAUUCUCGUCGUUUCGUGUACUAAUCCUGAUGGCCAGCAAUGGUAUGCCCUCUUCUCGAGUUUGCUGCCAGCCUCGUUAAGCGCUCUUACAAGUUUCGGCAUCAACGUUUCCGGCAUAACAGAUAUACACGCCCAUCACUACACCUAUAUAUUCGAAGAUAUGCGUUAGGAGUCUUUGGUAAGUAAAUUCGUUUCAU